GGCCAAGUUUUUAAGGGCGCACGGUGGAUGCCUUGGCACCAGGAACCGAUGAAGGACGUGGGAGGCCACGAUAGUCCCCGGGGAGCUGUCAACCAAGCUUUGAUCCGGGGGUUUCCGAAUGGGGAAACCCGGCAGUCGUCAUGGGCUGUCACCCGCUGCUGAACACAUAGGCAGUGUGGAGGGAACGAGGGGAAGUGAAACAUCUCAGUACCCUCAGGAAGAGAAAACAACCGUGAUUCCGGGAGUAGUGGCGAGCGAAACUGGAUGAGGCCAAACCGUAUGCGUGUGAUACCCGGCAGGGGUUGCGCAUGCGGGGUUGUGGGAUCUCUCUUUCACAGUCUGCCGGCUGUGAGACGAGUCAGAAACCGUUGAUGUAGGCGAAGGACAUGCGAAAGGUCCGGCGUAGAGGGUAAGACCCCCGUAGCUGAAACAUCAGCGGCUUGUUUGAGAGACACCCAAGUAGCACGGGGCCCGAGAAAUCCCGUGUGAAUCUGGCGGGACCACCCGCUAAGCCUAAAUAUUCCCUGGUGACCGAUAGCGGAUAGUACCGUGAGGGAAUGGUGAAAAGUACCGCGGGAGCGGAGUGAAAUAGUACCUGAAACCGUGUGCCUACAAGCCGUGGGAGCGUCGCGCAUCGAGCUUGCUCGGUGCGUCGUGACUGCGUGCCUUUUGAAGAAUGAGCCUGCGAGUUAGCGGUGUGUAGCGAGGUUAACCCGUGUGGGGAAGCCGUAGCGAAAGCGAGUCCGAACAGGGCGUUUGAGUUGCACGCUCUAGACCCGAAGCGGAGUGAUCUAGCCAUGGGCAGGUUGAAGCGGAGGUAAGACUUCGUGGAGGACCGAACCCACCAGGGUUGAAAACCUGGGGGAUGACCUGUGGUUAGGGGUGAAAGGCCAAUCAAACUCCGUGAUAGCUGGUUCUCCCCGAAAUGCAUUUAGGUGCAGCGUCGUGUGUUUCUUGCCGGAGGUAGAGCACUGGAUAGGCGAUGGGCCCUACCGGGUUACUGACCUUAGCCAAACUCCGAAUGCCGGUAAGUGAGAGCGCGGCAGUGAGACUGUGGGGGAUAAGCUCCAUGGUCGAGAGGGAAACAGCCCAGAGCAUCGACUAAGGCCCCUAAGCGUACGCUAAGUGGGAAAGGAUGUGGAGUCGCAGAGACAACCAGGAGGUUGGCUUAGAAGCAGCCACCCUUGAAAGAGUGCGUAAUAGCUCACUGGUCAAGUGAUUCCGCGCCGACAAUGUAGCGGGGCUCAAGCGUACCGCCGAAGUCGUGUCA
Molecule: non-coding RNA, 1270 nt
Filed under: Streptomyces parvus
Lineage: Bacteria; Bacillati; Actinomycetota; Actinomycetes; Kitasatosporales; Streptomycetaceae
Also listed under: 1 other name
Description: partial 23S ribosomal RNA
Rfam family: Bacterial large subunit ribosomal RNA
Source: RNAcentral